UAAAGCUACAAAGAGCUAAUGGGGAAUGCCUUGGUACUGACAGCCGACGAAGGACGUGUAAAGCUGCGAUAAGCCACGGGGAACUGCUAAAAGGUCUUGAUCCGUGGAAAUCCGAAUGGGGAAACCCUCCAGAGUUAAAACUUUGGAACCCGUAACUGAAUACAUAGGUUGCGCGGAGGAAAGCCUGUGAACUGAAACAUCUUAGUAACAGGACGAAGAGAAAAUAAACCAAUGAUUCCGAGAGUAGCGGCGAGCGAAAUUGGAAGAGCCUAAAUUGUGUGUACGUGAUAGCCUGCAAGCGUUGUGCACAUGAGGUUGUGGGACUUGCAUCAUAUUUUGCAGAAUAUGGAUUGAGUUAGAAAAUUAUUUAUUAGUUAAAGUCAACUGGGAAGUUGCGCCAUAGAGAGUGAUAGCCUCGUAAACGACAAUAAAUAAUCUCAAGUAAGUAUCCCGAGUAAGGCGGGGCACGUGAAACCCUGUCUGAAUCCACCGGGACCAUCCGGUAAGGCUAAAUACUAGUCAGUGACCGAUAGUGAACGAGUACAGUGAUGGAAAGGCGAAAAGAACAGUGAGAAGCUGAGUGAAAUAGACCCUGAAACCGUUAGCUUACAACCAGUCAGAGCACAAUUAAUUGUGUGAUGGCGUGCCUGUUGAAGAAUGAGCCGGCGAGUUAUUUUUUGUUGCGAGGUUAAGGAGAUCAUAUCCGGAGCCACAGGGAAACCGAGUCUGAAUAGGGCGUUAAGUAACAGGAAAUAGACCCGAACCUUGGUGAUCUAACCUUGACCAGGAUGAAGCGUGGGUAACACUACGUGGAGGUCCGAACCAACCGAUGUUGAAAAAUCGGUGGAUGAGUUGAGGUUAGGGGUGAAAUGCCAAUCGAACCAAGAGCUAGCUGGUUCUCCCCGAAAUGCGUUUAGGCACAGCGUUGGAUUUAUCUUGCAGGAGGUAGAGCACUGGUUUUGUGCGGGCGUCGAAAUGAUGUACCAAACAAUGUCAAACUCCGAAUACCUGUAAUGUCAUUAUCCAGCAGUGAGGCUAUGAGUGAUAAGAUCCAUGGCCAAGAGGGAAACAGCCCAGAACGCCAGUUAAGGUCCCUAAUAUAUGCUAAGUGGUUAAGGAGGUAGAGUUACUGAGACAACCAGGAGGUUGGCUUAGAAGCAGCCAUCCCUUGAAAGAGUGCGUAAUAGCUCACUGGUCAAGUGACUCCGCGCCGAAAAUACACCGGGACUAAAGCAUAUAACCGAAGCUGCGUCAUAUAGUUUACUAUAUGGGUAGGGGAGCGUACUGUAGUAAGACGAAGCUAGAGUGAAAACACUAGUGGAUGAGGCAGUAGUGAGAAUGUCGGCAUAAGUAGCGAAAACAUUGGUGAGAAUCCAAUGCACCGAAAACCUAAGGUUUCCCACGGCAGGCUCGUCCGCGUGGGGUUAGUCGGAUCCUAAGCUCAGGCCAAACGGCGUAGGCGAUGGACAAUAGGUUGAUAUUCCUAUACUAUCUGAUAAUCGUUAUCAGAAGCGGAGGGACGCAAGAGGAUAAGCACGCAGUCGAAUGGAAGAGACUGUAUAAGCGUGUAGCUAGGUUUGACAGGAAAAUCCGUCAAAUCGUUAAUGUGAGGCGUGAUGUGGAGAGUCUACGGACUUGAAGGUGUUGACUCCAAAUUGCCGAGAAAAUCUUCGCUCUCGAGAUUAUUGGGUAUCCGUACCGUAAACCGCCACAGGUAGGUUGGUAGAAAAUACUAAGGUGCGCGAGACAACUCUCGCUAAGGAACUCGGCAAAAUCACCUCGUAACUUCGGGAGAAGAGGUACCCUGGUAGCGUGAAGCGAUUUACUCGUGAAGCGUGAUAGGGUCGCAGUGAAUAGGCCCAAGCGACUGUUUACCAAAAACACAGGUCUCUGCUAAGUCGAUCAAGACGAUGUAUAGGGGCUGACGCCUGCCCGGUGUCGGAAGGUUACGCGGAAAUGUUAGAAGCAAUUCAAAGCAUCGAAGCUAAGCCCCGAUGAACGGCGGCCGUAACUAUAACGGUCCUAAGGUAGCGAAAUUCCUUGUCAGGUA
Molecule: ribosomal RNA, 2050 nt
Filed under: human gut metagenome
Description: bacterial LSU rRNA
Rfam family: Bacterial large subunit ribosomal RNA
Source: RNAcentral